CACGUGAUGGGUGCAUUUCAAACGAGCAUCAUAGCGGCGCUUUGAAAGCUUGACAAGUCAGUAUCACAGUAUCGAGCAGCACAUCACUAGUUUCCUCCUAUGUGACCCUCGCGCUGCGACUUCUUCACGACCAUAAGAUAAAGCAAAGGUGCGGAAGGGCAUUCCCAUUUCACAUGGUCAUACACUGAGUUGUCUAAUGGCCUCCAGCUCAGGGCUGUCCAUGUGAGAUGAGAAUCUGAGAAGAGAAGGACAGACACUUAAAGAGAGAGAAGAGUUUCCCACAGAGCAUGGCCUCUGCCAAAGAAGAUGGUGUGCAUGAAAGAAUGGUGGACAUUAAAGAAGAGGACUGUGAGUGGCUCACACCAGAGGAUGUGUGUGUGAAGCUAGAGGAUCACGAAGAAAGAAUUUCAGUUUUUAAAGAGGAGGAGGAGUGCAAGUGGGUGACUGCUGUCAUUAAAGCUGAGGAUUUGAAUGAUUUCCACGUUGGCCUUGAUUUUCAAAAGCAUGAAACUGAGGAUAUUUUCAAGCAAGAUGCCUGUGAAGAAUCUCCAUCCAGUUUACAGCCCUGGUCCACUAAUACGGGACAACUGGCUACACAGGAGAAUUCUGUAGAGCUGAAAUCAGAGUUAUCAGAGUCUGAAGAGACAAUCACCGAGGGAAAUGAGAGAGAAGGACAAGAGUCACCUGGGAGUGUUGGAAUAAAUUUAAAGAAGAAUGGCAGCUUCUCUCCACCUUCAUUUGGUCAGCCCUCUCUUCAAUCCAAUGAGAAAGGUAUGAAGAAAUCAGCAAGAGGAUCAGAGAACCUGACAGCCUUUUCGCAUUGCAGUUCUUUCCCUGCUACUGGAGUAACACAGACAGAAGCCAUCAAAACUGACCAACAGCAAAUGGAGAAAGAAAUCCAAAUUCAUACUGGAAAAAAAUGUUGUUUGGAAUUUGGCAAACAGUUCACACACAAAAGUGAUCUUAAUAAGCAUAUGAAGAUUCACACUGGAGAAAAAACAUAUUGUUGUCAUGAAUGUGGCAAGCAUUACCCAAACAUUAAGAAUCUUGAAAAACACACAGAAAUUCACUCUGGAGAGCAGAAACCUCAUUGCUGUAAAGAAUGUGGCAAACGAUUCUCAAUGAGAAGCUAUCUUCAGAGGCACAGAAUAAUCCACACAGGAGAAAAACCUCAUUGCUGUGCAGAAUGCGGUAAGUCAUUCUCAAGGAGAAGCCAACUUCUUUGUCACAGAAAAAUCCACACAGGAGAAAAACCUCAUUGUUGUCCAGAAUGUGGUAAGUCGUUCUUAAUGAGAGGCAAUCUUCAGAGGCACAGAAAAGUCCACACAGGAGAAAAACCUCAUUGUUGUCCAGAAUGUGGUAAAUCGUUCUCAAGCCAAAGCUAUCUUCAGAACCACAGAAGAAGCCACACAGGAGAAAAACCUCAUUGUUGUCUAGAAUGCGGUAAGUCGUUCUCAAUGAGAGACAGUCUUCAGAAACACAGAAGAAUUCACACUGAAGAAAAAACUCAUUGCUGUUCAGAAUGUGGUAAGUCGUUCUCAAGCAGAAGUGAAUUUCAGUGGCACAAAAAUAUUCACACAGGAGAAAAACCUAAUUGUUGUCCAGAAUGUGGUAAGUCGUUCUCAAGGCGAGACAGUCUUCAAAAGCACAGGAUAGUCCACACAGGAGAAAAACCUCAUUGCUGUUCAGAAUGUGGUAAGUCAUUUUCAAGGAGAAGCAUACUUCUUUCUCACAGAAGAAUCCACACAGGAGAAAAACCUCAUUUCUGUUCAGAAUGUGGUAAGUCGUUCUCAAGGAGAAGCAAUCUUCAGGUGCACAGAAAAAUCCACACAGGAGAAAAACCUCAUUGUUGUCCAGAAUGUGGUAAAUCAUUCUCAAGCAGAAGCUAUCUUCAGAACCACAGGAGAAGCCACACAGGAGAAAAACCUUAUUGUUGUCCAGAAUGUGGCAAGUCAUUCUCAAUGAGGUGCAGUCUUCAGAAACACAGAAGAAUACACACUGGAGAAAAACCUCUUUGCUGUUCAGAAUGUGGUAAGUCGUUCUCAAGGAGAAGCUAUCUUCAGAACCACAGAAGAAGCCACACAGGAGAAAAACCUCAUUCCUGUACAGAAUGUGGUAAGUCGUUCUCAUGUAUAAGCUAUCUUCAGAGGCACAAAAAAAUCCACACAGGAGAAAAACCUUAUUAUUGUCCAAAAUGUGCCAAACAAUGCAGUUUUCAAAGGCACACAGAAAUUGAUACUGGAGAGAAGCCAUAUUGCUGUUCUCAAUGUAGAAAAGGGUUUUAAACAUUAGCUCUUUUCAAGUAAACAUACAAACUCCCACUAAAGCAAAACUGCAGUUUGGAUGUUCUUAAUGUGGCAAAUGUUAUACAAGCCAGAAAGGUCUUUAUCCACAUGCCAAAAUCCAUACUGAAGAAAAAUCUCAUUGCUGUUCUGAAUGUGAGAAACUAUUCUUAUAUUUAAGCACAUUUUAGUGCCACAUCAAAACUCAUACUAGAGAUAAACCUUAUUGUUGUACUAAAUGUGAUAAGCAGUACUUACAACAAAGCACCAUAAAAAGUCACUUCAGACGUCACACCGGAGAGAAACCUCACCAUUGCUUGGAAUGUGGCAAACACUUCUCACACCGUAAUUCUCUUUAUAAGCAUACAAAAAGUCAUACUGGGGAGAAGCUUUACAGCUGUUCUGAAUAUGGAAUGUGAUUCUUAUAUAACAGUUCUCUUCACAAUAAUAAAAUACUUAAUUCUGGUAAGAAACAAAGCUGUUCUGACUGCGGCAAACUAUUCUCGGACAGAACAACUCCUAUAAAUCACAUGAGAAUUCAUGCUGGAGCCAAACCUUAUUGCUGUCCGGAGUGUGGCAAACGAUUGUCAUGUCCAAGCGCACUUAGGUGCCACAGAAUGAUACACACUGGAGAGAAGCAGUACACCUGUUCUGAAUGUGGUAAUCAUUCCAUUUGCUCAUCAACCAAAAUAUUGAAGACAAAUCUUCUGAAUGAGGGAAAUGACUCCAGUUUAAAGUAGUUAAUAAGUACAUAAGAAUAGUGAAGAAAACACUGAAAGUGGCAAACAGAUCGUAGAUGUAAGGUCACCUCAGAGACACAUGUGAACUCACACUGGAAUGAACACACUGGAAUACAACACAUUUCAUAAACAGCAAGAAUCUUCUUCAACAACUUAUAGGUGCAAGAAAAUACCUCAUUGUUGUCCUAAAUGUGGUUAAUGCUUUUCAGACAGCAGUGGCCUUCAUAUUCAUAAAUGACUGUCUUACUUGUGGUAAGUCUCUUAGCUGUUCUGAAUGUUGAAAGUGGUCCUCCUGUAUCAGCCGUCAUCAUCAACACGUAAGAUUCCAUGAAGGACUCAGAAACUGUACUGCCAGUACGUCAGCCAUACAGGGACUGAUCAUCUCUGCACCAGUGCUGUGCCAUAAGAUGGUGAACAAUACAAACACCAGACAACAGAAUGAGGUAGCAACAGUACUGUGCGGUAAUAACAACUUCAAUAACGGAACACAACUGAAAAAGUUCAAUGUAAUAAUAAAAAAUGGAGAAGAAAAAUCAAAUCCACAGUGCAGUACCAACUACCAUGAGGUACCACUGACAAUGAGGGUAAUAUUUUUGUUUCAGAGCUUUGGAGAUGGGGCCUUAUCUGAGUACCAAUGAACUUGUACCAUCUCUGGGAUGUCAUCUGAUGGCUGGGAAUUUAAGAAGAUUGAAAUACAAAUAAAGUGAAACAUUCAGGGUUCAAAGAGAAAUGUUUAAGACCUGAAGAGGGAGUCACAACAGCAUUCUAGGGUUAGCAUGGGAAACCACAGUUGUGAAGAAUAUCAAUUAAUGUAUAGAAGGAAUAUUAUUUAAAAUAAUAAUAAUAAUUUUAUGAGAUAUGGGACACCAUAAGGAAUGCAGAACAAAAUGAAAAUGAAAUGAACUGAUUUUAUUGUCUGACAUUUAAGAGGAAAAGGGAAGACAAAGCAGAAACACACAGAGAUCUCUGCUGACCCAGCUGUUCAUUUGAUAAAUUAACCUAAAAAUAUAACGGAUGUCACUUUGCUACAUUUUGUAUUAUCCUGGGGUAUGAAGGACGCUCUAUACUCCGAAUGUGUUGGUUCAGUUUCAGUUUGAGUUCAGCACCUUCUUCAUAUCGAUACCCAAAACAACGUUUCUUCACGUCGAGACUACAAGCUGGAGGCCACAGCAGCUCAAUAAACUCCAACAGCAGGACGGACGAUUAGAAAGCUCUGCUCUGAGAGAGUGUCAGCUACACAAAGCUUCGGCUUCAUUUACUUGACAGAAAACUCCAAAAAGCAGAAGUGGCCCCUUCUGUACCCCCACCACUGAAGGUCACAUUUGACCCCUCACUACUCGGCGUUGGUUCACUCUGCUUGGACUUUCUGUAUUUUGUAAGUUUAUGUUUCAUUUUUUGGCCACACUCUUUUUACAUUUCAUUUCAUUGAUGCUCUCAAAUGUGUAAGUAUAGCUUCAGUCUUUCAAGGACUUCUCUAAAAAUGGUAAACUGGCUAUGAAAUGCAAGAAGGCAGAGAAAUUUAAAAAGUAUACCACAAAAUGAAGAGGUGACAUCAAUGAAAUACACUCAAUGGCAGAGGUGACGAGGACAAAAUCAGAAAGGACAGCACAGAAAAGGCAGGUACCAACUGGAAACAAAAGAAGAAAGCUGAUUGGUGGAAAGACCUGUCAGUCACUCCUGAGUGGACUGUUGAGGACAGCCGUGACAUGCAGACUUCAGAGUUCAUGUGUUUUUGAUUUCAAAUCUGUGACCAUGCACUGAAUAAGUCUGUUAUUUAUCAGUUAGCAUGUUCUGAAACUGUAAUGUCAUCACAAAGAUCAGCAUUUUAUUAAUACAUGAAUUACAUUCCAAUAGGUGGUGCACUGCAGAUGAUAAGGCUGAGGUCCACGCUGAUCACUUAUAUUUCAUCCCAGCUUAUUAAAUGACACAUUCCUUUGA
This is an RNA transcript of Erpetoichthys calabaricus (reedfish), 4960 nucleotides long. It is a transcript of the gene named gastrula zinc finger protein XlCGF26.1-like, with no coding region annotated. Lineage: Eukaryota; Metazoa; Chordata; Cladistia; Polypteriformes; Polypteridae. The record is from RefSeq and is a predicted model, not a curated record. The transcript is spliced from 4 exons.